This is a non-coding RNA of Capsicum annuum, 107 nucleotides long. NCBI's taxonomy places the organism in Eukaryota, Viridiplantae, Streptophyta, Magnoliopsida, Solanales, Solanaceae. The record is from Rfam.
UGAUAAUGGUGAGGGAAAUUUCUGAGCAUACUUUUAAAUCUCUCCCAAGCUUGGUAGAAAUUCUCUCAUUCUUUCUGUUUGAAACUUUGAAUCUCACUUAUCAAAUA